CAUAGCAGUCUGAGGACCACCCACCACUGAAGCUAAGGAAGUUCAAACCUGGUUGGGAUUUGGAUGGGAGACCACCUGGAGGAACUGGGGGCUGAUAGCU
Molecule: ribosomal RNA, 100 nt
Filed under: Aotus nancymaae (Ma's night monkey)
Lineage: Eukaryota; Metazoa; Chordata; Mammalia; Primates; Aotidae
Source: RNAcentral